Perca flavescens (yellow perch) is the source of this 205-nucleotide long non-coding RNA. RefSeq lists it as uncharacterized. The transcript has 2 exons. Lineage: Eukaryota; Metazoa; Chordata; Actinopteri; Perciformes; Percidae. The record is from RefSeq and is a predicted model, not a curated record.
GUUAGCCAUGCUUGUAUGUUGUGGUUGCGUUACCUUCACCCUGGAAUUACCUUCACCCCUGCUUGGCCACCAGAACCAUCAACUAUGCAGUUCCAUCAAGAUCCCUGUCCACUGAGCAAUUCCAUCACCCAUACUCACCUGUCUAUACGUCUGGCAUUACCUUUUCAAUUACAUUUUUUUCAUCAAUAAAUACUUUUUUUCACCA